CAACAACAGGUUUGUAGGUUAGCUUCAUGUACUCCUUAAUGGGUAUAAGCCUAAUCUCAGCAGCUACAAGAAGACCGAGCGUUCCCUGAGACCAAGGAACGGCAUAGAAUAGAUCAGAGAAUUCGUUGUCCUUGGUCGCUCUAACAAGAGUACCAUCAGCCAACACAAUUUCGUAGGCCACCACAGUAUCAGAGAACAGGCCAUAUUUGUGGGAGCUUCCUUCUAUUCCAUAGCCAUUGAUGAGACCACCGACAGUGAGAUCAUCAAGUUCGGCCACGACAGCAAGGGAAAGAUUCAUGGGUACGGUCGCCCUUGAGAUCUGUCC
This 325-nucleotide long non-coding RNA is filed under the name Vigna radiata. Its description in RNAcentral is "long non-coding RNA (VRAD_LNC001432)". The record is from RNAcentral. Lineage: Eukaryota; Viridiplantae; Streptophyta; Magnoliopsida; Fabales; Fabaceae.